Molecule: ribosomal RNA, 862 nt
Filed under: Aschersonia sp. JZQ-2014a
Lineage: Eukaryota; Fungi; Ascomycota; Sordariomycetes; Hypocreales; Clavicipitaceae
Description: eukaryotic LSU rRNA
Rfam family: Eukaryotic large subunit ribosomal RNA
Source: RNAcentral
UGGAGGAAGGAACCACAGGGAUUGCCCCAGUAACGGCGAGUGAAGCGGCAACAGCUCAAAUUUGAAAUCUGGCCCCCCCCCCGGGGGGCCCGAGUUGUAAUUUGCAGAGGAUGCUUUGGGCGAGGCGCCUUCCGAGUUCCCUGGAACGGGACGCCACAGAGGGUGAGAGCCCCGUCUGGUCGGACGCCGAGCCUCUGUAAAGCUCCUUCGACGAGUCGAGUAGUUUGGGAAUGCUGCUCAAAAUGGGAGGUAUAUGUCUUCUAAAGCUAAAUACCGGCCAGAGACCGAUAGCGCACAAGUAGAGUGAUCGAAAGAUGAAAAGCACCUUGAAAAGGGGGUUAAACAGUACGUGAAAUUGUUGAAAGGGAAGCGCUCGUGACCAGACUUGGGGCGGGCGGAUCAGCCGGCGUUCUCGCCGGCGCACUCCCCGCCCCAGGCCAGCAUCAGUUCGCGCCGGGGGACAAAGGCGGCGGGAACGUGGCUCCCCAGGGAGUGUUAUAGCCCGCCGCGCCAUGCCCCGGGGGCGGACUGAGGGCCGCGCAUCACUGCAAGGAUGCUGGCGUAAUGGUCACCAGCGACCCGUCUUGAAACACGGGCCAAGGAGUCGUCCUCGUAUGCGAGUGUUCGGGUGUCAAACCCCUACGCGGAAUGAAAGUGAACGUGGGUGAGAGCUUCGGCGCAUCAUCGACCGAUCCUGAUGUUCUCGGAUGGAUUUGAGUAGGAGCAUACGGGGCCGGACCCGAAAGAAGGUGAACUAUGCCUGUGUAGGGUGAAGCCAGAGGAAACUCUGGUGGAGGCUCGCAGCGGUUCUGACGUGCAAAUCGAUCGUCAAACAUGGGCAUGGGGGCGAAAGACUAAUCGA